UAAAGUUUAGUUUAUAAAAACAAAUGUUUUGAAAACAUUAAUAGGAGAUUUCCUCCAACUUUUA
RNAcentral lists this transfer RNA (64 nucleotides) under Faxonius limosus (spinycheek crayfish). Its description in RNAcentral is "tRNA-Ser". RNAcentral also lists the same sequence under 1 other name. The record is from RNAcentral. Lineage: Eukaryota; Metazoa; Arthropoda; Malacostraca; Decapoda; Cambaridae.